UACGGAGGGUGCAAACGUUGCUCGGAAUCAUUGGGCGUAAAGCGCACGUAGGCGGUCCCAUAAGUCGGGUGUGAAAGCCCUCGGCUUAACCGAGGAAGUGCAUUCGAAACUGCGGGACUUGAGUACCGGAGAGGGUGACGGAAUUCCCGGUGUAGAGGUGAAAUUCGUAGAUAUCGGGAGGAACACCAGUGGCGAAGGCGGUCACCUGGACGGAUACUGACGCUGAGGUGCGAAAGCGUGGGGAGCAAACAGG
Molecule: ribosomal RNA, 253 nt
Filed under: uncultured bacterium
Lineage: Bacteria
Description: partial 16S ribosomal RNA
Rfam family: Bacterial small subunit ribosomal RNA
Source: RNAcentral